RNAcentral lists this ribosomal RNA (393 nucleotides) under uncultured bacterium. RNAcentral's name for it is "partial 16S ribosomal RNA". It matches the Rfam family "Bacterial small subunit ribosomal RNA", at positions 523 to 918 of the family's 1533-position model. The record is from RNAcentral.
AUACGGAGGAUGCGAGCGUUAUCCGGAUUUAUUGGGUUUAAAGGGUGCGUAGGCUGUGCGUUAAGUCAGGGGUGAAAUGCCGUCGCUCAACGACGGAGCUGCCCUUGAUACUGGCGUGCUGGAGUACGGAUGCCGUUGGAGGAAUGAGUGGUGUAGCGGUGAAAUGCUUAGAUAUCAUUCAGAACACCGAUUGCGAAGGCAUCAUACCAAACCGUCACUGACGCUGAGGCACGAAAGCGUGGUGGUGGACCAGGAUUAGAUACCCUUGUAUUCCACGCCGUGAACGAUGAUGACUAACCUUCAGCGAUAGCCUGCCGGGGGCCAAGCGAAAGCGAUAAGUCAUCCAGCUGGGGAGUACGGCGGCAACGAUGAAACUCAAAGGCAUUGACGGGG